Molecule: ribosomal RNA, 488 nt
Filed under: uncultured Glomus
Lineage: Eukaryota; Fungi; Glomeromycota; Glomeromycetes; Glomerales; Glomeraceae
Description: SSU rRNA
Rfam family: Eukaryotic small subunit ribosomal RNA
Source: RNAcentral
AGCAGCCGCGGUAAUUCCAGCUCCAAUAGCGUAUAUUAAAGUUGUUGCAGUUAAAAAGCUCGUAGUUGAAUUUCGGGAUCAAUACGUCGGUCGUGCUUCGGUACGUACUGGCGUAAUUGAUUUCUCCCUUCUGACGAACCAUGAUGUCAUUAACUUGGUGUCAUGGGAAAUCAGGACUGUUACUUUGAAAAAUUAGAGUGUUUAAAGCAGGCUCACGCUUGAAUACAUUAGCAUGGAAUAAUGAAAUAGGACGUUCGAUCCUAUUUUGUUGGUUUCUAGGAUUGACGUAAUGAUUAAUAGGGAUAGUUGGGGGCAUUAGUAUUCAAUUGUCAGAGGUGAAAUUCUUGGAUUUAUUGAAGACUAACUACUGCGAAAGCAUUUGCCAAGGAUGUUUUUCAUUUUAAUCAAGAAACGAAAGGUUAGGGGAUCGAAGACGAUCAGAUACCGUCGUAGUCUAACCAUAAACUAAUGCCGACUAGGGAUCGGAU